GUAAGCUAUCGCUGAGGGAUGGGCCUGCGGGCCAUUAGCUUGUUGGUGAGGUAACGGCUCACCAAGGCUGUGAUGGCUAGCUGGUCUGAGAGGAUGACCAGGCCACACUGGGACUGAGACACGGCCCAGACUCCUACGGGAGGCAGCAGUGGGGAAUAUUGCGCAAUGGGCGAAAGCCUGACGCAGCGACGCCGCGUGGGUGAUGAAGGCCUUCGGGUCGUAAAGCCCUGUCGCAGGGGAAGAAUAAGCAUCGGUAUAAUACGCCGGUGCCCUGACGGUACCCUGCAAGAAAGCACCGGCUAACUCCGUG
Molecule: ribosomal RNA, 310 nt
Filed under: uncultured bacterium
Lineage: Bacteria
Description: bacterial SSU rRNA
Rfam family: Bacterial small subunit ribosomal RNA
Source: RNAcentral